This 808-nucleotide long non-coding RNA is filed under the name Manihot esculenta (cassava). RNAcentral's name for it is "long non-coding RNA (MESC_LNC008485)". Lineage: Eukaryota; Viridiplantae; Streptophyta; Magnoliopsida; Malpighiales; Euphorbiaceae. The record is from RNAcentral.
AUAAUAAUAAUAUAUUCCAUCUCACUCAUCUGCCACUUCGCAUGGCUUUGGCAAGGGAAUGACCGUCUUUUCCCAUGACACGGCCGUGGAUCUGCCUCCUCACCUCAGUUUAAGGUGUAUAUAAUUUUUUUUAUUGAUCUUUUGCUGGCAGUGAAGCUUCUUGAGAGGAUUUCUUUGGACUGCCAUGGCUUCUCCUUGUGUUCUUCCAUGGGUGUUUGUUUAGAUGCUUUUUUUUUUUUUAUUGCUUGCUUGCAUGGACUUUUUAGAUUUUGGAGCACUAGAUCCUCUUCUUCGUCAGUUCAUAUGGCUCGACAUGUGUAGCAAGAACGAGAUAGUUGGUGGUAUCUCGACGGUGACAUACGAGUGAGACACUGAUGAGAUCUCUCACUUCCACCUGUUGCAGCCAAAUUCUAGAUUUAGGAUUGUCUUCUAACGUCGGUCGGCUCUUGUUGUCUCAGAGGGUUUGUCAUAUGUGACUAGAGGACUAAUUGCGUAUUGAUAUAGUCCAAGAAUGGUAAAUCUAAGGACAUGCAUAAGAAAAGGAAUGUGUUUUAAUGCUAUUAUCACCAAAGAGUAUCCUUCGGGCCGGCCACCAUAUUUGCAGAGAGCAAUUCUGGUGUAGCUGUGAUGAAGGACGACAGUGAGAAGCUUCUUUCCAUUGGAUCAACUCUUUGAGUUGGGUAGCUUAUUGGGUAAGGUUUUUUGGGGCUUGGAUUUAGAUUUGUUUGUACUAUGAGUGAGUUACCUUGUUUUCAAUUGUUCUGGGCCUGAGGCCCAGUUUUGUAUUAAUAUUAAAACAAUAAUUUAA